Molecule: long non-coding RNA, 851 nt
Filed under: Medicago truncatula (barrel medic)
Lineage: Eukaryota; Viridiplantae; Streptophyta; Magnoliopsida; Fabales; Fabaceae
Description: long non-coding RNA (MTRU_LNC003172)
Source: RNAcentral
UGACUUUCUUUCUUCCUUCCUCUUUUCUUUUCUUUUUCUUAUUUAUUUAUUUAUUUCUUUGUUAAAGUCUUUUUCUCCAAGUCUCAGCUGCAGGGACAUUUUGGUCUUUGUUUUGUACCAGAGCCAACCCUAGUUUGUCACUAUAAAAACCCUGUCAAUCAUUGAGAAAUGGGUCAGAGAAAAAAUCACUGUAGCAGCUGCAGCAACCACCAUAAGAAACCCUAAUCUUUCAUCUCUCCCAACUUUUUCAGAUCAAAGAAAAAAUAAAAAAAUACACAACAAUCAUCAUGAAUAUUCAUAGCCAUGCAUCAUGAACAUUAUCCUCUUCCAUUCUAGGAACCAAAAUUCUUCAUAAUAAUAAACCAACAAAAACACUUUCUCACAAAAAUCAUCAAUAAACAAGUCACAUAACACCACAAUCACAAACAACAUCACACAAUCACAACAAAAAAAAAAAACUUGCGCCGGACCGGAUUCAGGGGAGGAAACCGAACCGGAAAAGGAAAGAAACGGAACGGAGGAAGCCACCAGACCAAAGGGAGAAAACCGGAUCGGAGAGAGAGAGAGGUAGUUUUUUUUUGCUCAUUUUCUUUGAAUAUUCUUUGUUAGAUCUAGGCUUGUAGAAGCUUGUUUUCAAAAAUCUAAGUUGGGAUUCAUGCAAAACAAGAAAAAGGAUUUCUAAAAACGUAAAAAAAUUUCAAAACGGAGGAGUUUUGGUUGCUCCGGCGCGGCGGCGCCGCCUGUUGGCCGGCAGCCACCACGCCGGAAAGUCAUAGCUUGGCCGGAGAAGAAGGCUGCAAUUGCAGACCUUCUCUCACUAGAAAUUUUUAGAGAGAGGGAGGAAAGGAAAA